RNAcentral lists this ribosomal RNA (453 nucleotides) under uncultured Candidatus Protochlamydia sp. Its description in RNAcentral is "bacterial SSU rRNA". It matches the Rfam family "Bacterial small subunit ribosomal RNA", at positions 929 to 1382 of the family's 1533-position model. The record is from RNAcentral. Lineage: Bacteria; Pseudomonadati; Chlamydiota; Chlamydiia; Parachlamydiales; Parachlamydiaceae.
GCAGUGGAGCAUGUGGUUUAAUUCGAUGCAACGCGAAGAACCUUACCCAGGCUUGACAUGCAGAUGACCGCUCUAGAAAUAGAGUUUCCUUCGGGACAUUUGCACAGGUGCUGCAUGGCUGUCGUCAGCUCGUGCCGUGAGGUGUUGGGUUAAGUCCCGCAACGAGCGCAACCCUUAUCAUUAGUUGCCAACAGGUGAAGCUGGGAACUCUAAUGAGACUGCCUGGGUUAACCAGGAGGAAGGUGAGGAUGACGUCAAGUCCGCAUGGCCCUUAUGUCUGGGGCUACACACGUGCUACAAUGGUCGGUACAGAAGGCAGCGAAACCGCGAGGUGAAGCAAAUCCAACAAAGCCGAUCUCAGUUCAGAUUGUAGUCUGCAACUCGACUACAUGAAGACGGAAUUGCUAGUAAUGGCGAGUCAGCAACAUCGCCGUGAAUACGUUCCCGGGUCUU